RNAcentral lists this transfer RNA (74 nucleotides) under Marmota monax (woodchuck). RNAcentral describes it as "tRNA.Ala". The stretch from base 8 to 64 matches the Rfam family "tRNA", at positions 9 to 63 of the family's 71-position model. From Rfam's summary of the family: Transfer RNA (tRNA) molecules are approximately 80 nucleotides in length. Their secondary structure includes four short double-helical elements and three loops (D, anti-codon, and T loops). The record is from RNAcentral. Lineage: Eukaryota; Metazoa; Chordata; Mammalia; Rodentia; Sciuridae.
GGGUUACAGCUCAGUUGGUAGAGUGCCUGCCUUGCAUGCACAAGGCCCUGGGUUCAAGCCCCAGCACACGCCCA